RNAcentral lists this ribosomal RNA (406 nucleotides) under uncultured bacterium. RNAcentral describes it as "partial 16S ribosomal RNA". It matches the Rfam family "Bacterial small subunit ribosomal RNA", at positions 29 to 526 of the family's 1533-position model. The record is from RNAcentral.
AUUGAACGCUGGCGGCAGGCCUAACACAUGCAAGUCGAACGAGUGGCGGACGGGUGAGUAAUGUCUGGGAAACUGCCCGAUGGAGGGGGAUAACUACUGGAAACGGUAGCUAAUACCGCAUACCAUCGGAUGUGCCCAGAUGGGAUUAGCUGGUAGGGGGGGUAACGGCUCACCUAGGCGACGAGCCCUAGCUGGUCUGAGAGGAUGACCAGGCACACGGUAACGGAGACACGUUCCAGACUCCUACGGGAGGCAGCAGUGGGGAAUAUUGCACAAUGGGCGCAAGCCUGAGGCAGCCAGGCCGCGUAGAUGAAGAAGGCCUUCGGGUUGUAAAGUACUUUCAGCGGGGAGGCGUUACCCGCAGAAGAAGCACCGGCUAACUCCGUGCCAGCAGCCGCGGUAAUUC